GGCGAGACUCCAGAGAGAGACACACACAAAGUAACCGUGUCCACAUGGUGGGUGUAAUGGCUGCGAUGCACAAAUCAAAAUAAUUAACAACGACUAACCGGCUGCCAAGGUGUGAAAGAGAAAUUUCACGAGUAAUGAAAUUAACAUCAGCAUGUCACCCUGCCAGAAUCAGUCUGAGUGGAAUUGUCUACCCUGGGAGCCAGCCUGUGUUUACCCCGCCCAUAAGAAUUUGAGUGUGGCUACGGCAGGCUAUAGGAGUUGUCCUCUAUGUCUCACUGUAUAUCUGUUAUCUCAAUAUGGGGAUCUCCAGAGGACAUUUUGAAGGACAUUUUUGUCACAAAAACUAAAAAUUGUUUCAGCAUUAUAAAAUGGAUAAUAUUUCAUAAACGGAGUAAACCGAUAUGACAGAUAUUCCUAAGCAGGAUCAGCCAAAUGAGUCUGUGCUAAUAGCUUUUAAUGUGAUGGCCAUACUUUGUCAAACAGUCCAGGAAAAGGUUGUCAAAGCUUAAU
Molecule: long non-coding RNA, 510 nt
Organism: Alosa alosa (allis shad)
Lineage: Eukaryota; Metazoa; Chordata; Actinopteri; Clupeiformes; Clupeidae
Exons: 3
Source: RefSeq, a predicted model, not a curated record